AAAACAGUCCACUUUGUGGCCUGUUAUCGGAAUGGGUACAAUUUAAAUCUUUUAACGAGGAUCUAUUAGAGGGCAAGUCUGGUGCCAGCAGCCGCGGUAAUUCCAGCUCUAAUAGCGUAUAUUAAAGUUGUUGUGGUUAAAACGCCCGUAGUUGGUUUUUCGGUCUCGAAGCUCGGUAGCUCGUAUGGGCUUAACUGAGUCUUCCGGCCUAAAUUUCUUGUACUCUCCCGAUGCUCUUUAUUGAGUGUCUCGAGAUGCUAGAACGUUUACUUUGAAAAAAUUAGAGUGCUAAAAGCAGGCUAUACGCUUGAAUAAAGUGCAUGGAAUAAUGGAAUAGGACUUUAGUUUUAUUUUGUUGGUUUUCGGAAUUAAAGUAAUGAUUAAGAGGAACAGACGGGGGCAUUCGUAUUGUUGCGUUAGAGGUGAAAUUCUUGGAUCGCAGCAAGACGAACAACUGCGAAAGCAUUUGCCAAGAAUGUUUUCAUUAAUCAAGGACGAUAGUUAGAGGUUCGAAGGCGAUCAGAUACCGCCCUAGUUCUAACCGUAAACUAUGCCAACUAGCGAUCCGUCGGUGUUAAAUAUUGACUCGACGGGCAGCUUCCGGGAAACCAAAGUUUAUAGGUUCCGGGGGAAGUAUGGUUGCAAAGCUUAAACUUAAAGGAAUUGACGGAAGGGCACCACCAGGAGUGGAGCCUGCGGCUUAAUUUGACUCAACACGGGGAAACUCACCCGGCCAGGACACAAUAAGGAUUGACAGAUUGAUAGCUCUUUCUUGAUUUUGUGGGUGGUGGUGCAUGGCCGUUCUUAGUUGGUGGAGCGAUUUGUCUGGUUAAUUCCGAUAACGAACGAGACUCUAGCCUAUUAAAUAGACGAUAUAUCUUAUUAGUAUAUCGAGCUUCUUAGAGGGACGAGCAGCUUCUAGCUGCACGAGAUUGAGCAAUAACAGGUCUGUGAUGCCCUUAGAUGUCCGGGGCUGCACGCGCGCUACAAUGAAAAUAGCAGCGCGUUUCGAAAACCCUUUCUGGAAAGUAUUGGUAAACGCGAAAUAUUUUCGUGAUUGGGAUAGGGGAUUGCAAUUAUUGCCCUUGAACGAGGAAUUCCCAGUAAAUUCGAGUCAUCAGCUCGAGUUGAUUACGUCCCUGCCCUUUGUACACACCGCCCGUCGCUACUACCGAUUGGAACAUUGCGUGAGAUCUUCGGGCUGACGUCGAAACGAACGUAAAAAUUCGAUUCGCGCGUUGGAAAGAUGCUCGAAUGCAACGUUCUAGAGGAAGUAAAAGUCGUAACAAGGUUUCCGUAGGUGAACCUGCGGAAG
RNAcentral lists this ribosomal RNA (1315 nucleotides) under metagenome. Its description in RNAcentral is "SSU rRNA". It matches the Rfam family "Eukaryotic small subunit ribosomal RNA", at positions 482 to 1823 of the family's 1831-position model. The record is from RNAcentral.